UUUAGUCAGGCAACGAGCGAGACCCACGCCCACAGUUGCCAGCGUACUCUCUGGAGUGACGGGUACACUGUGGGGACCGCCGCUGCUAAAGCGGAGGAAGGAAUGGGCAACGGUAGGUCAGUAUGCCCCGAAUAUCCCGGGCUACACGCGAGCUACAAUGGUUGGUACAAUGGGUAUCUACCCCGAAAGGGGAUGGAAAUCUCCUAAAGCCAAUCUUAGUCCGGAUUGAGGGCUGCAACUCGCCCUCAUGAAGCUGGAAUCCGUAGUAAUCGCGUUUCAACAGAACGCGGUGAAUACGUCCCUGCUCCUUGCACA
This 315-nucleotide ribosomal RNA is filed under the name uncultured archaeon. Its description in RNAcentral is "bacterial SSU rRNA". It matches the Rfam family "Archaeal small subunit ribosomal RNA", at positions 1029 to 1343 of the family's 1478-position model. The record is from RNAcentral.